Molecule: ribosomal RNA, 253 nt
Filed under: uncultured bacterium
Lineage: Bacteria
Description: partial 16S ribosomal RNA
Rfam family: Bacterial small subunit ribosomal RNA
Source: RNAcentral
UACGAAAGGGGCUAGCGUUUUUCGGAAUUACUGGGCGUAAAGCGCACGUAGGCGGCCUUGUAAGAUGGGGGUGAAAUCCCCGGGCUCAACCCGGGAAUUGCCUUCAUGACUGCAAAGCUCGAGGAUGCGAGAGGUGAAUGGAAUUCCGAGUGUAGAGGUGAAAUUCGUAGAUAUUCGGAAGAACACCAGUGGCGAAGGCGAUUCACUGGCGCAUUUCUGUCGCUGAGGUGCGAAAGCGUGGGGAGCAAACAGG